UGGCGACAUGAUCAGUGUGGGCCGGCUUCUUAGAGUAUCUUUUCGAGCUCGACAAAACAGGAACAGAAGGAAUUAUAAUAAAUAAGGAUUCUCAAAUAUACCAAGAACCACGUCACAAUUAGUAGAAUGUUGACGAAGGAAUUUGCUGUGAUUAAAUUUGUGGAUAAAGGAUUUGAGGUUAUUUGAACGAAAUGGACGAUUUUUAAUGAGUUGGAUACAUGGACUGAUGAAAACGGAAAACCAGGGCCGGUUAAAACCGUUUGUUGCUAUGCCCAAACCUUUAGAGAAUCCAGACAAAAACUAUAGUACUACAUAAAACUGUCAGACGUUGAUUCUGACGACGCAAUAAAUAUGGAUAAUUUAAAAAUAUCCAGACACUUGCGCUGUGCAAAAAAGUUCUCUGAGGAUGACUCUGAAAUGAAGGUGAAGCGAGCACCCGCGUUUAAAGUAAAGAAAAGCUUCUUGCCAGCACCUUCUACCGUUUCCAAUUUCGGAGAUAAAUGUAUUCCAGAAGGUGGUUUCCUUAGAAAACCACAGAAAACAACAGUAUGCAGUCAUAAGGUUGCAAAAUCAAGAUUUCUUUGAUGUCAUUCGCACACAUUGGGCGGUUUUUAACGACUCCGUUAAAAUAGUUUUCACCUUGUUUCCUGAUUUGGAUUCGGGAAAAGAGUUAGAUAAAGUUUUAAUAACAGGUGAGAAACCAGAUGCAACAUGGGCGGAUGAAAAUGGCGAGCCAUGGAUAGUUUAAACUUUUGUUGACAAUGCAGAGGCAAUGUAUUCAAAGAUGUCAUCGGUGAAAAAUCGUUCAAAGGUUUCAGUUGGAGUGUCACCCAAAUCCAAAUCAGCUGGCGCAGUGGUAGGGAAAAAGCGGUUUCUUCGCGGUUCAAAAUCACCUUCAAUGAUUAAAGGGGUCGGUUUCCCCUCCUUCAGUCUUUUUUGUAUCCAAUCGUCCACAGAAUUAGUGGAGGGAUUGGAAGUAGUAGGAACAUUGUUACCUUGACUAGAUACAUUCCGAUCGAGAGGUUCCGAGGGAUGCGUGGAAUCGAUAACGUCCUGUAGAUCAAGCUGGGUGCGAACAUCAUUACUGAAAACUACUUCCGCUUGGGCUAGAAGCUGUCUUCCCGAAAGGUGGCGGAUCUCCCCAUCUUCAUCUUCGUCCUCGGAUUCCUCAUCAGUUAGAACUGCAGGAGCAGGAGGUUCCAUGAAAACCAUCUCAGGUUGUUGUUCAGCAGCAUCGUUCUCCUGGAGGAGUUCUACAGCUUCCUGGACUGUGAGACCGGGCCUGACAAAACCAGUACCACAUAAGUCCCAGGGAUGCCGUAUGGCACAUGUGCCAAUAUUGAUCGCAUACAGACAUGAAUUAUGGAUAAAAACAUUACUAAACAUGAUUUUCAUUGCUCAAACAUGUCAGCUAACUAGUGAAAUACCGAUAAUAAAAAAAGAAUACUGAAAAAUAUAAUACUUACGUCAGCAAAGCUUGUAGAACGUCAAUGUCAAAAAAGGAGUCCAUAAUUGGUGGAAUCUACAACUGCUGGAAAAAGAAUGAGAGGCCGGCUUCCUCCUCCCCAACGUUGCUAAGUACCUCAGGAACAUGAAAGGACGUGCACAAACUUGAACUCGCGUGCAUAGAGUUCCCAAGAAAUUCAUGAACAGACCUGCCGACGCUGUUGCCGUUCGGCAUCACUGGGACAUAAUGGGUCAAGUAGACUAAGAUGCGUUUGCGUUCUAAUGCUCUCUCUCUCUCUCUCUCGCUUGCACUCUCGCUUUUGUUCGAUCACUCACUCGUUUACUAAUAAGUCCUACAUUGCGCUAUCACAAGAAAUAGAAAUAAGAAACU
Long non-coding RNA from Belonocnema kinseyi, 1837 nucleotides. RefSeq lists it as uncharacterized. The record is from RefSeq and is a predicted model, not a curated record. The transcript has 5 exons. NCBI's taxonomy places the organism in Eukaryota, Metazoa, Arthropoda, Insecta, Hymenoptera, Cynipidae.